This 73-nucleotide transfer RNA is filed under the name Ixodes scapularis (black-legged tick). It matches the Rfam family "tRNA". Rfam says of the family: Transfer RNA (tRNA) molecules are approximately 80 nucleotides in length. Their secondary structure includes four short double-helical elements and three loops (D, anti-codon, and T loops). Further hydrogen bonds mediate the characteristic L-shaped molecular structure. tRNAs have two regions of fundamental functional importance: the anti-codon, which is responsible for specific mRNA codon recognition, and the 3' end, to which the tRNAs corresponding amino acid is attached (by aminoacyl-tRNA synthetases). tRNAs cope with the degeneracy of the genetic code in two manners: having more than one tRNA (with a specific anti-codon) for a particular amino acid; and 'wobble' base-pairing, i.e. permitting non-standard base-pairing at the 3rd anti-codon position. The record is from Rfam by way of RNAcentral. Lineage: Eukaryota; Metazoa; Arthropoda; Arachnida; Ixodida; Ixodidae.
UCCUGGUUAGCUCAGCUGGUAGAGCAAUCCACUGAAAAUGAAGAGGUCCCUGGCUCGAUGCCAAAACCAGGCG